GUAGGUGAACCUGCGGAAGGAUCAUUAACACGAAUUUUAAUAUUUUCCAAUAUUUAAAACCAAACCGCGAACCUUUCCCCUCCCUAUUUCGUAUCGGAGACGAUCCGAUUAGGCUACUAUUUUUUAUAUACAAACCCCUUUUUUAUUAAUCAACUUUACGUUAGAAAUAACGUGACUAAACUAAAAACUAUAUAUACAUUGUGCGUAUACAUAUUUUUUUUCUUUACGAAAUAAAUACUAUUCACAUACAGAACAACUCUUAGCAAUGGAUAUCUUGGUUCUC
This 283-nucleotide unclassified non-coding RNA is filed under the name rhizosphere metagenome. Its description in RNAcentral is "partial ribosomal RNA internal transcribed spacer region". The record is from RNAcentral.